UGGGGAAUAUUGGACAAUGGGCGAAAGCCUGAUCCAGCCAUGCCGCGUGUGUGAAGAAGGCCUUUUGGUUGUAAAGCACUUUAAGCGAGGAGGAGGCUACUAGUACUAAUACUACCAGCUACUGGACGUUACUCGCAGAAUAAGCACCGGCUAACUCUGUGCCAGCAGCCGCGGUAAUACAGAGGGUGCGAGCGUUAAUCGGAUUUACUGGGCGUAAAGCGUGCGUAGGCGGCUAAUUGAGUCGGAUGUGAAAUCCCCGAGCUUAACUUGGGAAUUGCAUUCGAUACUGGUUAGCUAGAGUGUGGGAGAGGAUGGUAGAAUUCCAGGUGUAGCGGUGAAAUGCGUAGAGAUCUGGAGGAAUACCGAUGGCGAAGGCAGCCAUCUGGCCUAACACUGACGCUGAGGUACGAAAGCAUGGGGAGCAAACAGG
This 430-nucleotide ribosomal RNA is filed under the name Pseudomonadota bacterium. RNAcentral describes it as "Proteobacteria bacterium partial 16S ribosomal RNA". It matches the Rfam family "Bacterial small subunit ribosomal RNA", at positions 355 to 776 of the family's 1533-position model. Lineage: Bacteria; Pseudomonadati; Pseudomonadota. The record is from RNAcentral.